This is a long non-coding RNA of Daphnia pulicaria, 1001 nucleotides long. RefSeq lists it as uncharacterized. The record is from RefSeq and is a predicted model, not a curated record. The transcript has 5 exons. Lineage: Eukaryota; Metazoa; Arthropoda; Branchiopoda; Diplostraca; Daphniidae.
CCGCUUUUCUAGUUCUCCCGGAAGUUCGUCUGCUGCACUGCAGUGCAUGAAAUAAAUUAAUCAAAUUAAUUACUUCCCGCUCAAAGUAUGUGUCUCUGUGCUGCCCUGCAAACUCAGCCCUGGUGCUGCCAACUCAGCAAUGUCAGCAUAGUUUAAUAUAUAACCUUCAGCGUUCAGCCAUCGAGUUGUUCGAUAAUAGUGAGUGAGUGAGUGAGUUUGCCGACCAAUACGUCCUAUAGUUUUGUUUUUCCAUUGCGAUCGUAUCCGUCCCCCCCCCCCCCCCACGGGUUUACAUAUGGUUGAUACAAAGUAUUCAAGUCAUUAAGUCAAGGAAAUGUUUGAAACAGCACAAGAUUAGCAGAUCAUAUUGGUGCAAGAAGUGAGAUAAAGGUUGCACACCUUCAUGGAUAUUCAAUGUCUUCAUGCGGAAUAGGAAGGAGGAAAUGUGAAAGGGUCGUGGCCGUCGUGCAUCCUACCGUCAACUAUUUUGUUCAAAAUCAUUUUUUUCUACUGAAUGUGCCAUCGAAAUGAUACAGGAGUCAUAAUUAUCUGCUGUUUGUAUUGAACUUGCUAGAUCACCAACCAACCCCAGCAUAGACCAAUCUCUCAUUUCAUCUUCUCAAGAGAAGAUUGGAUAACUGAUUGGAGGUUUCAUGUGUUCUAAACUCCAGGUUUCGAAAUUUGCAUGGCAGACUUAAAAGUCAUGUCCUUUCAAGAAAGUCAACAAGGUCCCUUGUUUACUAACCUGUUGGCUGCUACCCUUGAAUCUCCCUUUUUACUUUCUUUAGCGGGCCAUCUUUAUUUGAGGGUAAUCCUUCGCUACUAUGGACUUCAUCCACUGGUGAAAACCGACGAGAGAAUGCUGUAAUCCAAGACUGAUAAAUUGUGUAGUUAGAUUCAAUUGCAAGUGCAUACCUGGGCUCCCUUCUUUUCUGUGGCCCCGUUUCCCUAACUAAACCAACGCCCGCCGGUGGUCACUCACCCGCUGUGAAACCAGGAGG